This is a long non-coding RNA of Myotis myotis, 936 nucleotides long. RefSeq lists it as uncharacterized. Lineage: Eukaryota; Metazoa; Chordata; Mammalia; Chiroptera; Vespertilionidae. The transcript has 4 exons. The record is from RefSeq and is a predicted model, not a curated record.
CUAGCAUAGUAAACAGGACUACAAAACAAUUAUGUAAAUACUGCAAACUAAGAGAAAAUGGCAAAAGUGUCCAAGGUGAAGGAAGAGAAAGUUAUCAUAAACACCUGAGACAAGGAUUUAAGGCUUGGCCCAUAUAAACCUUUCACCACAACCUGGCCCUCUUCCCACAAAUGCUGCUUGGAAAGGUGAGAACACUGAUGGUCAACUGUCAGUCCACACUGUCCUGUGACAUGAGCAUGGAAUUCUUCUUUAUUAUGUUUUCUUGGCAUUCUAAACCCAAAUAUCUAGAGCCCUUUCCAUUACCUGCCAGACCUGAGAAGUUGCUGCACCACAGAAGCAGAAGCAGAUGCUGCUCGGUCCAUAUAGACAUUGGUCAGAGCCAGAUGUGUUCACCCAGCUCUCUUGAAUCCUCAUGUUUCAUGGCAGCUCUUUUCUGAAAAGAAGCCCAGGAAAAACAAUACUCCAAAUCAGACUUUCCAGAUGCUUCUGGGUGUUCCUGGCUGUGUGUGUGAGUUUAUACGUAUGGGGACUCAGAGCGCCUUGAGCAAGCUCGACAUUAUUGCCACGUUCCAGCUGAAGAGUGAAGCCGUUGCUGAACACAGACGAUGUCAGGCACUGGAAGGCAUGUGAUCCAAGAUGGGCCAAAUAAAUUCAAUCUUCCAGAAGUUCAAACUGUGAGCCAUACCAACAGCAACUGACCAGAGUUGAUCAUCUCUACGGUGUUUUCCUGAAGAAAAUGGCCCAUUAGUUCCUGUUGCUUAGAUGCUUGAAAUUUUUUUUUUAUUUCUUAUUCUUCCAAUGGUCCAGUUGUUCACUCUUGAUUCUGUGAACUUCUGCAUACCCUUCCAAUAAGUUUCAGUUCUACUUGGGUUAACCAGAAUCUCUUUUCCUUGUUUGUCACUCGAAUAUGCUAAAUAAAGUAAAUCAUAACUCUAA